This is a long non-coding RNA of Tribolium castaneum (red flour beetle), 1187 nucleotides long. RefSeq lists it as uncharacterized. The record is from RefSeq and is a predicted model, not a curated record. The transcript has 5 exons. NCBI's taxonomy places the organism in Eukaryota, Metazoa, Arthropoda, Insecta, Coleoptera, Tenebrionidae.
GCUACCAGGGAACUGAGACCGCGACAGUUGGUACUGAAACGCAGUGAAAAGUGGAAGUGUUUGUGCUCAGUUUUCUCAAUCCACCAAACACAAAAUUCAUUUUUUUUACUCAAAACUCAUUGAUCGCAUGUAAAACUUCAGCUGUCGGCUGGAAAAGGGGAAGCGUCGCGUCCUCCAAGGACCCUCCAGAUUAGAACUCCAAGGACUAGAGACGGCGUUUCUUGAACGCGGAUCGCGCAACAUCCACCAGUGCGCGGGAAAACUGGGCGUGAGAGGCGAUCGAUUGAGCAUCAGGGGCUUGCUGAAUCCCCACCCAUCGGCAUCCCGACGGUGUCACAAGCUGGGGCUGUCACACAGCCGUCGUCAUCGUCCUCUGUCAACAAGAUGCGCGAGCUGAAAAAGUGAUACUCUCAUCACCGGUGAUCGGAGGUGAUAAUUACCGCAGCCACCUGACUGCCAGCCCAUAAGGUUCUUGACUUUGGUUGGAGCAAACGGAGAGUACCAUCGGCAUUCCGUCGCCGUGUGGAUCACACAGUCCGCAUGUCAACAUCGUCAACUGAUGUCAUCGAGUUUUUUCCACGUUUUUUCGCCCGCGAGAGAUGCAUAAUUCGUGCCGUCUGAUCGCCGGAAUACGACAAAUGAAGCAGAAAAUCCCCUCUAAAAGCAUCAAACAGUCCGCAACUAAUUUCAUUGUAAUUAAGAAAUAGAUGCGCGUUGGAUGAUUAAUGGGACAAGGAAUUGAUUUCACAGUCACACACGAAGAUUUUAAAUGUUAAUUUAUCACAAAGACCGAUAUAAUUAGGCUACGAUUGUGUGAGAAAGUGACAUAAGACGGAUGGUCGUUGCGGUGAAUUGUUUAACAGUCACAAAAUUAAACGAGGAUGUUUUUCUCAAGAUUAUUAAAAAAAUAACGUCGCUUCACGUUAAUGCUCUACAUCUACCCUGUAGAUCCGAAUUUGUUUGAAAUCAGGCGACAAAUUCGGUUCUAGAGAGGUUUGUGUGGUGCAUACAUUGCAACGUGACUAAAAUAAAACCAAGUGUUAAUUUAGACUUAUCAUUUAAUAAUAGAUUGUCCUUAGACAUAAAUCAUAAUAAAAAAGAUUGUCACAAGCAAAAAACUUUUAUAUCAUGAAAUUUGAAUUAUAUGUUUUGUAUAACGAAAAUCAAGAAUAAAGUUAAACAGAAAA